AUUGAACGCUGGCGGCAUGCUUUACACAUGCAAGUCGAACGGUAACAGGCCUUCGGGUGCUGACGAGUGGCGAACGGGUGAGUAAUGCAUCGGAACGUACCCAGAGGUGGGGGAUAACGCAGCGAAAGCUGUGCUAAUACCGCAUGUGAUCUGAGGAUGAAAGCGGGGGACCGAGCAGCAAUGUUUGGCCUCGCGCCUUUGGAGCGGCCGAUGUCGGAUUAGCUAGUUGGUGGGGUAAAGGCCUACCAUGGCGACGAUCCGUAGCUGGUCUGAGAGGACGACCAGCCACACUGGGACUGAGACACGGCCCAGACUCCUACGGGAGGCAGCAGUGGGGAAUUUUGGACAAUGGGCGCAAGCCUGAUCCAGCAAUGCCGCGUGCGGGAAGAAGGCCUUCGGGUUGUAAACCGCUUUUGGCAGGAACGAAACGGUGUCCGCUAAUACCGGGCGCUAAUGACGGUACCUGCAGAAUAAGCACCGGCUAACUACGUG
This 492-nucleotide ribosomal RNA is filed under the name uncultured bacterium. Its description in RNAcentral is "partial 16S ribosomal RNA". It matches the Rfam family "Bacterial small subunit ribosomal RNA", at positions 30 to 507 of the family's 1533-position model. The record is from RNAcentral.